AACGAACGCUGGCGGCAGGCCUAACACAUGCAAGUCGAGCGCGUGUAGCAAUACACGAGCGGCGCACGGGUGAGUAACGCGUGGGAAUCUGCCCUACAGUGGGGAACAACCACGGGAAACUGUGGCUAAUACCGCAUACGUCCUUCGGGAGAAAGGCUUAGGCCGCUGUAGGAGGAGCCCGCGUCCGAUUAGCUAGUUGGUGAGGUAACGGCUCACCAAGGCGACGAUCGGUAACUGGUCUGAGAGGACGACCAGUCACACUGGGACUGAGACACGGCCCAGACUCCUACGGGAGGCAGCAGUGGGGAGUAUUGGACAAUGGGGGAAACCCUGAUCCAGCCAUGCCGCGUGAGUGAUGAAGGCCUUCGGGUUGUAAAGCUCUUUUAGCGGGGAAGAUAAUGACGGUACCCGCAGAAUAAGCCCCGGCUAACUUCGUG
Molecule: ribosomal RNA, 437 nt
Filed under: uncultured organism
Description: bacterial SSU rRNA
Rfam family: Bacterial small subunit ribosomal RNA
Source: RNAcentral